Molecule: ribosomal RNA, 658 nt
Filed under: uncultured archaeon
Lineage: Archaea
Description: bacterial SSU rRNA
Rfam family: Archaeal small subunit ribosomal RNA
Source: RNAcentral
CACACAGCUCAGUAACACGUGGCUAAUCUGCCCUUGGGACGAGAACAACCCCGGGAAACUGGGGCUAACUCUCGAUAGGUAGAGAACUCUGGAAUGAGUCUUUACCUAAAAAGUGUAACGUUAUCCUCGUUGCACCGCCCAAGGAUGAGGCCGCGACCGAUCAGGUUGUUGGCGAGGUAAUGGCUCACCAAGCCUUUUACCGGUGCGGGCCGUGGGAGCGGGAGCCCGGAGAUGGGCACUGAGACAAGGGCCCAGGCCCUACGGGGCGCAGCAGUCGCGAAAACUUUGCAAUAAGCGAAAGCUUGACAGGGCUAUCCCGAGUGCCAUCCGCUGAGGAAGGCUUUUACCCAGUCUAGAACGCUGGGGGAAUAAGGAGAGGGCAAGUCUGGUGUCAGCCGCCGCGGUAAUACCAGCUCUCCGAGUGGUGUGGAUGUUUAUUGGGCCUAAAGCAUCCGUAGCUGGCUAAGUUAGUCCCUUGUUAAAUCCACCGAAUUAAUCGUUGGAUCGCGGGGGAUACUGCUUGGCUAGGGGACGAGAGAGGCAGACGGUAUUUUCGGGGUAGGGGUGAAAUCCUAUAAUCCCGGGAAGACCACCAGUGGCGAAGGCUGUCUGCUAGAACGCGCCCGACGGUGAGGGAUGAAAGCUGGGGGAGCGAACC